UAUUGUACCAUCACCUGGUAUAGAGGAUGCAGAUCCACAUUCUAGUUCAGCCGCCAAUUACGUGGAAGAAUGUUCCAAUAGUCGUCCAAUGAUUACACCCGUUGGAGGAGGGUUUUAUCCUACAAAAACUGCAUCGAAGGCAAUCACAACCACCAUCAAGGAACAGUUUGAUGAGCCAUGGCUAACAUGGGGCUCAAUCCCUAAGUCAACCAGAGAUGUCUUCUUCGAACGUUUUAAGAGAAGGGUUUCAUGGAAGCCUGAAGAUGAGGAAAAGGUAAAAAAAAAAUUAUCACACCAAGGCAUCUCAUAGACUCUCAGAGAUGUAUAAAAAAGCUAGAACUCUAGGAAAAAGACCUGAUUGGCUGGGGGACGAUACUUGGAAUGCUCUUUUGGAAAAGUGGAACAUGCCACUUUAUAGACAAAAGUGUGAAACGGCAAAGAAGAAUCGGACAUCUGAAAAGGGUGGUUGUUUGCACACUGGAGGAUCUAUAAGCAUGCAUGAGCAUGCUA
Molecule: long non-coding RNA, 510 nt
Organism: Vigna angularis (adzuki bean)
Lineage: Eukaryota; Viridiplantae; Streptophyta; Magnoliopsida; Fabales; Fabaceae
Exons: 3
Source: RefSeq, a predicted model, not a curated record